AGAUCCUUGGCCAAACAACGCGGAUUGCAGUUCAUUUCAAAGUUUUGCUACUGUUCCUGAUUCAUUUCAUUGUGAUAAGAAAAGCUGCUUGGUUUUGGUAUCAGGAUGAUGCUGGCAUCAUAAAAUGAGUAUUUUUCUUCAGACUUCAGACUGCUGUGCUGGAAGCAAGAAUUUCAAGCAUUGGAUCUUAGCUUGCUGGGCUCCAUAGGGGUGGGAUCCACUGAGCUAGACCACUUGGCUCCCUGGCUUCAGCCCCCUUCCAGAUGUCCUUGGCGUGUACACCCUGUGGAAUCUGGUUCAUCUUCAAUCUGUCAGAAGGCAUCAGAGGUGGUUUUGACUCCUUAUGUCUUGGACCUGUGCACAAAAAGUGUAAAAUGGAUGGAACAUCAGACAGCUCAUUAUAGAGACAAGUAAGCUCCAGUUCCAAAGUUGGUUGACAGAACAAGUCAUGACCUUGUGUGGAGGAAAAUGAGAUCCCGAGUGAAGUCUACAAUGUCAUUGACUCUGAAGAAGGACUCAGAGACCCAUUGGUGUUUAAUGACCCUUACUGGCCUAUGCAAUGGAAACUGAUCUUGAGUGUGCCUUAAAAUUCCAUUUCAUGGAGAACUGUGCGUGGUUGAAUUUUGAUUGAUUACUCAAUUAACUGAUGUAUUGGUAGAGUGAUUAAGAAAGAAGACUUUGGGAUCAGACCAACCUGGUUUUGAAUUCAAGCUCAGCAACUUACUAGGUAAGGAGGAGAAAAGAAAGAAGGAAAAAUUGGAAAGAUAAAUGGGGUCUUUCCAGUGAAGCCUCCAGGCCUCCAGACUGGAACUUAUACCACUGAUUCUUCUGAAUCUUAGGCCUUUGGACUUGGACUGGAACUAAACCAUCAGCUCUUCUUGUUCUACCACUUGCAGACUGUAUGUCUUGGGACAUGUCAGCCUCUGUAAUCACGCUCAAUUUUCCUACAUAAUUAAGAGUUUGGAAUUCGGGCAAUAUCAAGAACCACAUCUGUCCUGAAAUCAAUUAUCUCUGUUUGAAACACAAGAAAUAAGAAGACCAUUUUGAGAAGAACAGAGAGUAGCCUUAAGAAAAUCCCUGUCGCAAGCACUCUGGGAUUUGGACUCAAAUGCUAAUUAUACAGAACCACUUGGGUGCCCAGCUGCUGUCCAUUCUCUACACUUAUCCCACCUGAUGGAAGGCUGUUAAGAAAAACAUCACUGCAAUGCCUAAUAAACAGACAUGGGUCCCAGACCCAAUAAGAGUGAAACCAUCCCCCUAUUUAAAUGAAAUUAUGGCUGAUGAGAAAGACAAAUUAAUUUCUCUGUCCCUAGUAUUACACAAAACUUUGGAUGCUGCCAUUGUUACAAUUUUAUUUUCCCCAGGAGCUCAGAGUCCCACCUUCAUUCUUUUUGUUUAAUGCUUAAGCUUGCCUGUCCACCUAUGGAAGACUAGAAUGAGCAAAGACCAUGUAUUCAAUGAUCUGUAAAUCUAACAGGAAACAAUAUAAUAAAUAUAUUGUGUUUGCUAACCAAA
Molecule: long non-coding RNA, 1515 nt
Filed under: Homo sapiens (human)
Lineage: Eukaryota; Metazoa; Chordata; Mammalia; Primates; Hominidae
Description: novel transcript
Source: RNAcentral